AGAGUUUGAUCCUGGCUCAGAAUGAACGCUGGCGGCGUGCCUGAUACAUGCAAGUCGAGCGCGAAAGUGGCCUUCGGGCCGCGAGUAGAGCGGCGGACGGGUGAGUAACACGUGGGUAACCUGCCUUGGAGAGGGGAAUAACUUGGGGAAACCCGAGCUAAUGCCGCAUGAGCUCGCCGGACCUUCGGUGCCGGCGAGGAAAGGUGGCCUAUUCUUGAAAGCUGCCGCUCCAAGAGGGGCCCGCGUCCGAUUAGCUAGUUGGUGGGGUAACGGCUCACCAAGGCUACGAUCGGUAGCCGGCCUGAGAGGGUGAUCGGCCACACUGGAACUGAGACACGGUCCAGACCGCUACGGUGGGCAGCAGUACGGGAUAUUGCGCAAUGGGCGAAAGCCUGACGCAGCAACGCCGCGUGAAGGAUGAAGGCCUUCGGGUUGUAAACUUCUGUCAGGCGGGACGAACGAGCGGCGGUGAAUAGCCGCCGUUUCUUGACGGUACCGCCGGAGGAAGCCCCGGCUAACUCCGUGCCAGCAGCCGCGGUAAUACGGAGGGGGCAAGCGUUAUUCGGAAUUAUUGGGCGUAAAGGGCGUGUAGGCGGCUUGAUAANCCAAAGGUGAAAUCCCUCACCUCAACUGAGGAACUGCCUUUGGAACUG
This 653-nucleotide ribosomal RNA is filed under the name uncultured Acidobacteriota bacterium. RNAcentral's name for it is "bacterial SSU rRNA". It matches the Rfam family "Bacterial small subunit ribosomal RNA", at positions 8 to 635 of the family's 1533-position model. The record is from RNAcentral. Lineage: Bacteria; Pseudomonadati; Acidobacteriota.